This 310-nucleotide long non-coding RNA is filed under the name Elaeis guineensis (African oil palm). Its description in RNAcentral is "long non-coding RNA (EGUI_LNC044927)". The record is from RNAcentral. Lineage: Eukaryota; Viridiplantae; Streptophyta; Magnoliopsida; Arecales; Arecaceae.
AAUCAUCCAUAGAAUUAGUUUCGAUACAUAUUAGAGAUAUAUAUUUAAUUCUCAAAUGCUCCCGAUCAUAGGAUUAUCAUGAGAACAGUGAUAGAUCUGGAUAGACUGGUGCACAAAUUACUUUCUUUGAGAUAGAUGAGUCUCUAAUCUACUGUGUAGAGAUACAGGAUGAUGAGUGCGGGUAGUUGUUCGAAAAUAACUAGUAUUGAGCAUGACCAUACGAGAGAUCAUUUGGAUUUUUAUUUGAUCGUCAGUGAUUGUCUCAAUGCUGUAGUUGUGUGACUAGUCUUUUGACUUAAGAUGGUACUGC